Molecule: microRNA precursor, 68 nt
Filed under: Myotis davidii
Lineage: Eukaryota; Metazoa; Chordata; Mammalia; Chiroptera; Vespertilionidae
Description: mir-9242 microRNA precursor family
Rfam family: mir-9242 microRNA precursor family
Source: Rfam by way of RNAcentral
GGCCUCCCUCUGCGGGGCAAUCAAUCGUGGAGCCCCUUACCUCAUCGAUUGCUCCUCAGAGGGUGGCC